This 97-nucleotide ribosomal RNA is filed under the name uncultured bacterium. RNAcentral's name for it is "partial 16S ribosomal RNA". It matches the Rfam family "Bacterial small subunit ribosomal RNA", at positions 1386 to 1482 of the family's 1533-position model. The record is from RNAcentral.
CACACCGCCCGUCACACCAUGGGAGUCAGUUGCUCCAGAAGUCGCCGUGUCAACCGCAAGGGGACAGGCGCCCAAGGAGUGACUGGUAACUGGGGUG